This is a non-coding RNA of Tephrocybe sp. NHM501043, 73 nucleotides long. Lineage: Eukaryota; Fungi; Basidiomycota; Agaricomycetes; Agaricales; Lyophyllaceae. The record is from the annotation of a GenBank genome assembly.
GACUACCUAGCUCAGUGGUUAGAGCAUCUGCCCAUGUUUGCAGAGGUCCCAGGUUCAAUUCCUAGUGUGUUUA